This 253-nucleotide ribosomal RNA is filed under the name uncultured bacterium. RNAcentral describes it as "partial 16S ribosomal RNA". It matches the Rfam family "Bacterial small subunit ribosomal RNA", at positions 524 to 776 of the family's 1533-position model. The record is from RNAcentral.
UACAGGGGGUGCAAACGUUGCUCGGAAUUACUGGCCGUAAAGGGCGCGUAGGCGGCCCGCUAAGUCGAACGUGAAAUCCCCAGGCUUAACCUGGGAACUGCGUCCGAUACUGGCAGGCUUGAAUCCGGGAGAGGGAUGUGGAAUUCCAGGUGUAGCGGUGAAAUGCGUAGAUAUCUGGAGGAACACCGGUGGCGAAGGCGGCAUCCUGGACCGGCAUUGACGCUGAGGCGCGAAAGCUAGGGGAGCAAACGGG